AACGCACCUUGCGCCCUUUGGUAUUCCGAAGGGCAUGCCUGUUUGAGUGUCUCGAUAUCAUCAAUCCGUCCGGGUUUGCGCCCGGUUCGGCUUGGACUUGGGGGCCUUGCUGCCGAGAGGCGGCUCCCCUUAAAAGCAUCGGUCUGGCCCGAUCAGCGUUGGCCCGCUCCCGUGGCGUUGUAUCAACCUCGCCUCUGCGGUUCGGAUACGCCCUCGCCGCGCCGACCUCGACCUGCCCGUGGGGUGGCGGUCUGCUCUUGACAAUCUGACCUCAAAUCAGGUAGGACUACCCGCUGAACUUAA
RNAcentral lists this unclassified non-coding RNA (303 nucleotides) under uncultured fungus. RNAcentral's name for it is "partial contains 5.8S ribosomal RNA, internal transcribed spacer 2, and large subunit ribosomal RNA". The stretch from base 1 to 52 matches the Rfam family "5.8S ribosomal RNA", at positions 103 to 154 of the family's 154-position model. The record is from RNAcentral. Lineage: Eukaryota; Fungi.